Molecule: ribosomal RNA, 297 nt
Filed under: uncultured bacterium
Lineage: Bacteria
Description: partial 16S ribosomal RNA
Rfam family: Bacterial small subunit ribosomal RNA
Source: RNAcentral
AUUGAACGCUGGCGGCAUGCCUUACACAUGCAAGUCGAACGGCAGCACGGGAGCAAUCCUGGUGGCGAGUGGCGAACGGGUGGGUAAUAUAUCGGAACGUGCCCAGUCGUGGGGGAUAACGUAGCGAAAGCUACGCUAAUACCGCAUACGAUCUAUGGAUGAAAGCGGGGGAUCGCAAGACCUCGCGCGAUUGGAGCGGCCGAUAUCAGAUUAGGUAGUUGGUGAGGUAAAGGGCUCACCAAGCCGACGAUCUGUAGCUGGUCUGAGAGGACGACCAGCCACACUGGGACUGAGACA